GGUUUACCUGUGUGACUGCGUACCUUUUGUAUAAUGGGUCAGCGACUUAUAUUCUGUAGCAAGGUUAACCGCAUAGGGGAGCCGGAGGGAAACCGAGUCUUAACCGGGCGUUAAGUUGCAGGGUAUAGACCCGAAACCCGGUGAUCUAGCCAUGGGCAGGUUGAAGGUUGGGUAACACUAACUGGAGGACCGAACCGACUAAUGUUGAAAAAUUAGCGGAUGACCUGUGGCUGGGGGUGAAAGGCCAAUCAAACCGGGAGAUAGCUGGUUCUCCCCGAAAGCUAUUUAGGUAGCGCCUCGUGAACUCAUCUCCGGGGGUAGAGCACUGUUUCGGCUAGGGGGCCAUCCCGGCUUACCAACCCGAUGCAAACUGCGAAUACCGGAGAAUGUUAUCACGGGAGACACACGGCGGGUGCUAACGUCCGUCGUGAAGAGGGAAACAACCCAGACCGCCAGCUAAGGUCCCAAAGUCAUGGUUAAGUGGGAAACGAUGUGGGAAGGCCCAGACAGCCAGGAUGUUGGCUUAGAAGCAGCCAUCAUUUAAAGAAAGCGUAAUAGCUCACUGGUCGAGUCGGCCUGCGCGGAAGAUGUAACGGGGCUAAACCAUGCACCGAAGCUGCGGCAGCGACACUGUGUGUUGUUGGGUAGGGGAGCGUUCUGUAAGCCUGUGAAGGUGUGUCGUGAGGCAUGCUGGAGGUAUCA
This 702-nucleotide ribosomal RNA is filed under the name Salmonella enterica subsp. enterica. RNAcentral describes it as "partial 23S ribosomal RNA". It matches the Rfam family "Bacterial large subunit ribosomal RNA", at positions 582 to 1284 of the family's 2925-position model. Lineage: Bacteria; Pseudomonadati; Pseudomonadota; Gammaproteobacteria; Enterobacterales; Enterobacteriaceae. The record is from RNAcentral.